AGGAGGCAUGUGUUAUCAUGGCUAUCACACUCCUUCAUAAAGCAACAAUAGAUCUCCUUCCAGAAACAUCAUUUUCAAAAGGAGCAGGUACCCAGCUGUAAACAUCAUGAAGGAUGUGACGGGAGGGCGGCUUCCCUCCUUUAGGAGCUGUAUAUACAUUAAUCACUGAAUCACCAAGCCAUGCUUAAUUGCAAGCUGUAUAUCACACAAAUCCAUGGAAUGCAGAAAAGGUAUUACACCACUAAUUACAGCCCACACCAGCACCCCCACCUGAGCUGCCUGAAAGGAAAACGGAACUGUCUCAAAUCUGCAGCCAUCCCAAGCUUCUGCCUCAUUGCCACUAAAUGGUGGAGCUGAUAUCCAAAGCCCUGAGACCCAUUUCUGUACUUACUAGUCAGGAAAAUAUGAUGGUGACUAUGGAGUCUGGAAAGGGGAAGCCAAGAAGCUAAGCAGAUCCAGAAGAUUUGGACAAACUAAAAGCUGUCAAUCUAACAACAACAGGGCAAA
Long non-coding RNA from Felis catus (domestic cat), 507 nucleotides. RefSeq lists it as uncharacterized. Lineage: Eukaryota; Metazoa; Chordata; Mammalia; Carnivora; Felidae. The transcript has 5 exons. The record is from RefSeq and is a predicted model, not a curated record.